Molecule: transfer RNA, 73 nt
Filed under: Neotoma lepida (desert woodrat)
Lineage: Eukaryota; Metazoa; Chordata; Mammalia; Rodentia; Cricetidae
Rfam family: tRNA
About the family: Transfer RNA (tRNA) molecules are approximately 80 nucleotides in length.
Source: Rfam by way of RNAcentral
GGGGAUGUGGCUCAGGUGGUAGAGCACUUGCCUAGCAUGCAUGAAGUCCUGGGUUUGAUUUCCAGCACCCCUU